This 4000-nucleotide long non-coding RNA is filed under the name Eutrema salsugineum. Its description in RNAcentral is "long non-coding RNA (ESAL_LNC002099)". Lineage: Eukaryota; Viridiplantae; Streptophyta; Magnoliopsida; Brassicales; Brassicaceae. The record is from RNAcentral.
CGAAAGAGUUGUAGGCUUACAACUCGAUUAUGAUGAGAUCGAGGAUGAGUUAAUAAUAAGUGAGGGAAGCUUUGAAAGAAUGUCUGGUCUCCAAUUCUUAAGGACAACAAGGGGAGACAGAUAUAAACACUCAAGCCCAAACUAUCUACCUCGAAAAGUUAAAUUACUGCAUUGUGGACAUUCUUUGAUGACAUGCCUGCCUUCUAAUUUUAAUACGGAUUCGCUCGUCGAGCUAAACAUGCCUCACAGCAAGCUUGAGAAAUUGUGGGAUGGAAUUAAAGUAAGUCAUUUUCUUUCUCUAAAACUUUGUGUAUUUUACUUCGGUUUUAUUCGAAUACAUAGUUUUUCUUUUUGUACACUAUGUUCUAGCUGAAAAUAGAAAAGUGAUCUCACCACACCCCUUUUUUUUUGUUGCUGGAAUUAAAUCUCAAUGGCAUUAUAAUGUGUUUAUGAGUUUUUUUUUUUGUGAUGAGUUAACUACUAAGUGUAUCAACGUACGUAUUUGUUUCUCUGUACAGACGAUUAAAAAUCUCAAGUGGAUGGAUUUGAGUCGUUCCUCUAAUCUGAAAGAACUUCCUGAUCUUUCAACUGCCACUAAUCUCCGCGUACUGAAACUUCAAAAUUGCUCGGGUUUGGUGAAGCUCCCAUCUUCUAUUGGGAAUGCUACUAAACUUCUGAAAUUAGAUCUCAGUGGUUGUUCAAAUCUAGUGGAACUCCCAUCUUCUAUUGGGAAUCUUAUUAAUCUCACGGAGUUGUAUCUCAGUGGUUGUUCAAAUCUAGUGGAACUCCUAUCUUCUAUUGGGAAUCUUAUUAAUCUCAAACACCUAGAUCUUAGAAGUUGCUCAAAUCUGGUGGAGCUCCCAUCUUCUAUUGGGAAUGCUACUAAACUUCUGAAAUUGGAUCUCAGUGGUUGUUCAAAUCUAGUGGAGCUCCCAUCUUCUAUUGGGAAUCUUAUUAAUCUCACGGAGUUGUAUCUCAUUGAUUGUUCAAAUCUAGAGGAGCUCCCAUCUUCUAUUGGGAAUCUUAUUAAUCUCACGGAGUUGUAUCUCAUUGAUUGUUCAAAUCUAGAGGAGCUCCCAUCUUUUAUUGGGAAUCUUAUUAAUCUCGAACAACUAGAUCUUAGAAGUUGCUCAAAUCUGGUGGAGCUCCCAUCUUCUAUUGGGAAUGCUACUAAACUUCUGAAAUUGGAUCUCAGUGGUUGUUCAAAUCUAGUGGAGCUCCCAUCUUCUAUUGGGAAUGCUACUAAACUUCUGAAAUUAGAUCUCAGUGGUUGUUCAAAUCUAGUGGAACUCCCAUCUUCUAUUGGGAAUCUUAUUAAUCUCACGGGCUUGGAUAUCAGUGGUUGUUCAAAUCUAGUGGAACUCCCAUCUUCUAUUGGGAAUCUUAUUAAUCUCGAACAACUAGAUCUUAGAAGUUGCUCAAAUCUGGUGGAGCUCCCAUCUUCUAUUGGGAAUCUUAAUAAUCUCGAACAACUAGAUCUUAAAAGUUGCUCAAAUCUAGUGGAACUCCCAUCUUCUAUUGGGAAUCUUAUUAAUCUCAAACACCUAGAUCUUAGAAGUUGCUCAAAUCUGGUGGAGCUCCCAUCUUCUAUUGGGAAUGCUACUAAACUUCUGAAAUUGGAUCUCAGUGGUUGUUCAAGUCUAGUGGAGCUCCCAUCUUCUAUUGGGAAUCUUAUUAAUCUCGCAGAGUUGAAUGUUAGUAGGUGCUCAAGUCUAGCGGAGCUCCCAUCUUCUAUUGGGAAUGCUACUAAACUUCGGAAAUUGGAUAUCAGUGGUUGUUCAAGUCUAGUGGAGCUCCCAUCUUCUAUUGGGAAUCUUAUUAAUCUCACGGAGUUGGAUCUUAGUUGGUGCUCAAGUCUAGAGGUGCUCCUAUCUUCUAUUUGGAAUGCUACUAAACUUCUGAAAUUGAAUCUCAGUUGUUCAAGUCUAGUGGAGUUCCCAUAUUCUAUUGGGGAUCUUAUUAAUCUCACGAAGUUGGAUCUCAGUAGUUGUUCAAGUCUAGUGAAGCUCCCAUCUUCUAUUGGGAAUCUUAUUAAUCUCACGGAGUUGGAUAUCAGUGAUUGUUCAAGUCUAGAGGAGCUCCCAUCUUCUAUUGGGAAUGCUACUAAACUUCUGAAAUUGGAUCUCAUUGAUUGUUCAAAUCUAGAGGAGCUCCCAUCUUCUAUUGGGAAUCUUAUUAAUCUCAAACACCUAGAUCUUAGAAGUUGCUCAAAUCUGGUGGAGCUCCCAUCUUCUAUUGGGAAUGCUACUAAACUUCUGAAAUUGGAUCUCAGUGGUUGUUCAAGUCUAGUGGAGCUCCCAUCUUCUAUUGGGAAUCUUAUUAAUCUAACGAAGUUGGAUCUUAAUUGGUGCUCAAAUCUAGUGGAGCUCCCAUCUUCUAUUGGGAAUCUUAUUAAUCUCAAACACCUAGAUCUUAGAAGUUGCUCAAAUCUGGUGGAGCUCCCAUCUUCUAUUGGGAAUGCUACUAAACUUCUGAUAUUGGAUCUCAGUGGUUGUUCAAGUCUAGUGGAGCUCCCAUAUUCUAUUGGGGAUCUUAUUAAUCUCACGGAGUUGGAUCUCAGUAGUUGUUCAAGUCUAGUGAAGCUCCCAUCUUCUAUUGAGAAUCUUAUUAAUCUCCAGACCUUGAAGCUUAUAGGCUGCUCAAGUCUAGAGGCUCUUCCGAUCAACAUCGACAUGGAAUCUCUCGAUACACUUUUUCUCACUGGUUGCUCAUCGUUGAAAACCUUUCCUGAGAUUUCCACAAAAAUUAAGACUCUUUGGAUUUGUGGAACUGCAAUAGAAGAAAUUCCUUCGUCAUUCAGGUCAUGGUCUUGUCUUGAGGACUUGCAAAUGCCAUACUGUGAAAACCUGGCGGAAUUUCCGCAUGCUUUUGGCUGCAUCACGGAGCUUCAGGUGAGCAAUACAAGAAUACAAGAAAUUGCUCCAUGUGUCAAGGAAAUGUCUCGUCUACGUACACUUGUAAUCAAGGGAUGCACAAAUCUUGUUUCGCUCCCAGAGCUUCCAGGCUCCUUAAGAGUCCUGCUUGCAGAAAAUUGCGAGUCACUAGAGACACUAGAUUGCUCUUUUCACAAGAUAGAGUUUGAUCGUCUCUUGUUUAGCAACUGCUUCAAAUUGAAUCAAGAAGCAAGAGACCUUAUCAUCAAGACAUCGAUUAGUAUUAAAGAUGGCUAUGAAAUCUUACCCAGAGAAAUAGAGAUCUCUCAUCUCUAUCACCAACAAUUACGACGGCAACUGGUUCUCCAACAGUGUCCGUAUGCAUGAUUUGCUAGUACGGUUUGGUAGAGAAAUUGUUCGUCGACAAUCCAUUUAUGAUCCUGGGCAGCGUCAGUUUUUGUUUAAUGCCCAAGAUAUAUGCCAAGAACUAAAUAAUGAUACACUAGUAAGUUUUCACAUUAUCCUUCACUGUGUGUUGCUCCUUAGACCAUACGAAAUUUAAUAACUAACCAUAUUUAUUUACGUAUGUGUCAUUGGAUUCUUUUUCAGGGUAGCGAAAGAGUUGUAGGCUUACUAUUCGAUUAUGAUGAGAUCGAGGAUGAGUUAAUAAUAAGUGAGAGAGCCUUUGAAAGAAUGUCUAGUCUCCAAUUCUUAAGAACAAACUAUCACUUUGCCGUAAACUCAAGCCCAAACUAUCUACCUCGAAAAGUUAAAUUACUGCAUUGUGGACAUUCUUUGAUGACAUGCCUGCCUUCUAAUCUUAAUACGGAUUUCCUCGUCGAGCUAAACAUGCCUCACAGCGAGCUUGAGAAAUUGUGGGAUGGAAUUAAAGUAAGUCAUUUUCUUUCUCUAAAACUUUGUAUAUACUUCGGUUUUAUUCGAAUACAUAGUUUUUCUUUUUGUACACUGCUCUAGCUGAAAAUAGAAAACUGAUCUCACCACACCCUUUUUUUGUUGCUGGAAUUAAAUCUCAAUGGCAUUAUAAUGUGUUAAUGAGUUUUUUUUUUUUUUGUGAUGAGUUCACUACUAAGUGUAUCAACGUACGUAUUUGUUUCUCUGUACAGACG